GCUCCAGUAGAGGAAAACUGCAUCACAUCAUCAGUAUGUCCUCCACUUGUCUGCUGCAAUGAGGAUGGGAGAGAAAGGAGAUACUGCUCAGAGCUCCUGAGAUGCCAGAGUUUCAUCCUCCCACCUGUGUGCCGAGCUUGGUGAGACGCCCAGGAGAGCCGAAUGCCAUCGGCGGGCACUGUCCCAGCACCGUCCCCACGCUGGGUGGUGCCGGCUGUGCCAGACUCUGCUUACCUCUGCAGGAUCAAGCCCAUAUUAGGGGAAGGAAUGGAGAUGGACAAGCACAGCAGGUGUUGCACAGGACUGGCGGCUGCUGGAGGCAACAAUUCAGCCGUGUGUGGAUGGAGCCAUCACUGGGGAAGCCGUUCCACGGCCCAGCCGAGGGCAGGCCCUUUGUUCCCGGCUCCAGCACUGGGUGAGGAGGGACACUGGACAUGCCUUCGAUUACGGUAACAGAGGAUGGAUUUUGCUGUGUGCCAGUAAAUUCCCAUAAGGAAAAGGAACAGGAAGAAAAAGACCCAGCAGGUACUAGGAAAAAUGCAGCUUGCAGCACAUAAUGUUAGAGACAAGGACAACUCUUUUUUAAUUGACUACUGCCCUGCCACAUGUUGUAGUUCAGCCAGAGUUCCUGUAUACAGGCCAGAUGUAAGAACUGA
RNAcentral lists this long non-coding RNA (656 nucleotides) under Cyanistes caeruleus (blue tit). RNAcentral describes it as "lncRNA (ENSCCEG00000011596.1)". Lineage: Eukaryota; Metazoa; Chordata; Aves; Passeriformes; Paridae. The record is from RNAcentral.